GGAGGGGGUGGUGGUGAACACCAGGGACUUUACCUACAUUUCAUUAGAUUUGUUUUAUCGUCCCAUACAAGAAUAUAUAUGGUUUAGGGGUGGGGAUCUCAAUCAUUUAAAAGUUGUGGGGUGGGGUGACCCCCAUGGACUCUCCCUAUAUUUCAUUUGAUGUGCUUUAUUCUUCCAUUCAAGAAUAUAUAUGGUUUAGGGUGGGGAUCUUGACCGUUUACAAGUUUUCUAUCAAGAGGGGGUGGGGUGACUCUCUAGGGACUUCCCUUUUAUUUCAUUUCAUUUGUUUUAUUGACCCCUACAAUAAUAUAGAUGGUUAAGGGAUGGGGAUCUGGACUGUUUACAAGAUAAUAGCACAUUCUCAAAUUGAACAGGGUGGGGAUGACCCCAGGUACUUCCCUUUAAUUUCA
Molecule: long non-coding RNA, 410 nt
Filed under: Mytilus galloprovincialis (Mediterranean mussel)
Lineage: Eukaryota; Metazoa; Mollusca; Bivalvia; Mytilida; Mytilidae
Source: RNAcentral